Molecule: unclassified non-coding RNA, 314 nt
Filed under: uncultured fungus
Lineage: Eukaryota; Fungi
Description: partial contains 5.8S ribosomal RNA and internal transcribed spacer 2
Rfam family: 5.8S ribosomal RNA (bases 1-133)
Source: RNAcentral
UGGUUCUGGCAUCGAUGAAGAACGCAGCGAAAUGCGAUAAGUAAUGUGAAUUGCAGAAUUUAGUGAAUCAUCGAAUCUUUGAACGCACAUUGCACCCCUUGGUAUUCCGGGGGGUAUGCCUGUUCGAGCGUCAUUAUGACCUCUCCAGCCUGGCUGGGUGUUGGGCGCCGCCGUUCGGCGGGCCUUAAAGCUAGUGGCGGUGCUCUGAAGCUCUACGCGUAGUAAUUACUUCUCGCUACAGGGCCUUUGGAGACGCUGGCCAGCAACCUCAACUUCUCAAGGUUGACCUCGGAUCAGGUAGGGAUACCCGCUGA